GUACUGCGAAACUGCGAAUGGCUCAUUAAAUCAGUUAUCGUUUAUUUGAUAGUACCUUACUACUUGGAUAACCGUGGUAAUUCUAGAGCUAAUACAUGCUGCAAAGCCCGACUUCGGAAGGGCUGUAUUUAUUAGAUUAAAAACCAAUGCCCUCACGGGCUCACUGGUGAUUCAUGAUAACUUCUCGAAUCGCACGGCCUUGCGCCGGCGAUGGUUCAUUCAAAUUUCUGCCCUAUCAACUUUCGACGGCUGGGUCUUGGCCAGCCGUGGUGACAACGGGUAACGGAGGGUUAGGGCUCGACCCCGGAGAAGGAGCCUGAGAAACGGCUACUACAUCCAAGGAAGGCAGCAGGCGCGCAAAUUACCCAAUCCCGACACGGGGAGGUAGUGACAAUAAAUACUGAUACAGGGCUCUUUUGGGUCUUGUAAUUGGAAUGAGUACAAUUUAAUUCCCUUAACGAGGAACAAUUGGAGGGCAAGUCUGGUGCCAGCAGCCGCGGUAAUUCCAGCUCCAAUAGCGUAUAUUAAAGUUGUUGCAGUUAAAAAGCUCGUAGUUGAACCUUGGGCCUGGCUGGCCGGUCCGCCUCACCGCGUGCACUGGUCCGGCCGGGCCUUUCCCUCUGGGGAGCCGCAUGCCCUUUACUGGGCGUGCCGGGGAACCAGGACGUUUACUUUGAAAAAAUUAGAGUGUUCAAAGCAGGCUUAUGCUCGAAUACAUUAGCAUGGAAUAAUGGAAUAGGACGCGUGGUUCUAUUUUGUUGGUUUCUAGGACCGCCGUAAUGAUUAAUAGGGACAGUCGGGGGCAUCAGUAUUCAGCUGUCAGAGGUGAAAUUCUUGGAUUUGCUGAAGACUAACUACUGCGAAAGCAUUUGCCAAGGAUGUUUUCAUUAAUCAGGAACGAAAGUUAGGGGAUCGAAGACGAUCAGAUACCGUCGUAGUCUUAACCAUAAACUAUGCCGACUAGGGAUCGGACGGUGUUAUUCUUUGACCCGUUCGGCACCUUACACGAAAGUACAAGUUUCNGGGC
RNAcentral lists this ribosomal RNA (1027 nucleotides) under Raffaelea tritirachium. Its description in RNAcentral is "SSU rRNA". It matches the Rfam family "Eukaryotic small subunit ribosomal RNA", at positions 76 to 1112 of the family's 1831-position model. Lineage: Eukaryota; Fungi; Ascomycota; Sordariomycetes; Ophiostomatales; Ophiostomataceae. The record is from RNAcentral.